Molecule: ribosomal RNA, 1438 nt
Filed under: Lactiplantibacillus plantarum
Lineage: Bacteria; Bacillati; Bacillota; Bacilli; Lactobacillales; Lactobacillaceae
Description: bacterial SSU rRNA
Rfam family: Bacterial small subunit ribosomal RNA
Source: RNAcentral
UGCAGUCGACGAACUCUGGUAUUGAUUGGUGCUUGCAUCAUGAUUUACAUUUGAGUGAGUGGCGAACUGGUGAGUAACACGUGGGAAACCUGCCCAGAAGCGGGGGAUAACACCUGGAAACAGAUGCUAAUACCGCAUAACAACUUGGACCGCAUGGUCCGAGUUUGAAAGAUGGCUUCGGCUAUCACUUUUGGAUGGUCCCGCGGCGUAUUAGCUAGAUGGUGGGGUAACGGCUCACCAUGGCAAUGAUACGUAGCCGACCUGAGAGGGUAAUCGGCCACAUUGGGACUGAGACACGGCCCAAACUCCUACGGGAGGCAGCAGUAGGGAAUCUUCCACAAUGGACGAAAGUCUGAUGGAGCAACGCCGCGUGAGUGAAGAAGGGUUUCGGCUCGUAAAACUCUGUUGUUAAAGAAGAACAUAUCUGAGAGUAACUGUUCAGGUAUUGACGGUAUUUAACCAGAAAGCCACGGCUAACUACGUGCCAGCAGCCGCGGUAAUACGUAGGUGGCAAGCGUUGUCCGGAUUUAUUGGGCGUAAAGCGAGCGCAGGCGGUUUUUUAAGUCUGAUGUGAAAGCCUUCGGCUCAACCGAAGAAGUGCAUCGGAAACUGGGAAACUUGAGUGCAGAAGAGGACAGUGGAACUCCAUGUGUAGCGGUGAAAUGCGUAGAUAUAUGGAAGAACACCAGUGGCGAAGGCGGCUGUCUGGUCUGUAACUGACGCUGAGGCUCGAAAGUAUGGGUAGCAAACAGGAUUAGAUACCCUGGUAGUCCAUACCGUAAACGAUGAAUGCUAAGUGUUGGAGGGUUUCCGCCCUUCAGUGCUGCAGCUAACGCAUUAAGCAUUCCGCCUGGGGAGUACGGCCGCAAGGCUGAAACUCAAAGGAAUUGACGGGGGCCCGCACAAGCGGUGGAGCAUGUGGUUUAAUUCGAAGCUACGCGAAGAACCUUACCAGGUCUUGACAUACUAUGCAAAUCUAAGAGAUUAGACGUUCCCUUCGGGGACAUGGAUACAGGUGGUGCAUGGUUGUCGUCAGCUCGUGUCGUGAGAUGUUGGGUUAAGUCCCGCAACGAGCGCAACCCUUAUUAUCAGUUGCCAGCAUUAAGUUGGGCACUCUGGUGAGACUGCCGGUGACAAACCGGAGGAAGGUGGGGAUGACGUCAAAUCAUCAUGCCCCUUAUGACCUGGGCUACACACGUGCUACAAUGGAUGGUACAACGAGUUGCGAACUCGCGAGAGUAAGCUAAUCUCUUAAAGCCAUUCUCAGUUCGGAUUGUAGGCUGCAACUCGCCUACAUGAAGUCGGAAUCGCUAGUAAUCGCGGAUCAGCAUGCCGCGGUGAAUACGUUCCCGGGCCUUGUACACACCGCCCGUCACACCAUGAGAGUUUGUAACACCCAAAGUCGGUGGGGUAACCUUUUAGGAACCAGCCGCCUAAG